This 492-nucleotide ribosomal RNA is filed under the name uncultured bacterium. Its description in RNAcentral is "partial 16S ribosomal RNA". It matches the Rfam family "Bacterial small subunit ribosomal RNA", at positions 29 to 507 of the family's 1533-position model. The record is from RNAcentral.
AGUGAACGCUGGCGGUAGGCCUAACACAUGCAAGUCGAACGGCAGCACAGUAAGAGCUUGCUCUUACGGGUGGCGAGUGGCGGACGGGUGAGGAAUACAUCGGAAUCUACUUUUUCGUGGGGGAUAACGUAGGGAAACUUACGCUAAUACCGCAUACGACCUACGGGUGAAAGCAGGGGAUCUUCGGACCUUGCGCGAUUGAAUGAGCCGAUGUCGGAUUAGCUAGUUGGCGGGGUAAAGGCCCACCAAGGCGACGAUCCGUAGCUGGUCUGAGAGGAUGAUCGGCCACACUGGAACUGAGACACGGUCCAGACUCCUACGGGAGGCAGCAGUGGGGAAUAUUGGACAAUGGGCGCAAGCCUGAUCCAGCAAUGCCGCGUGGGUGAAGAAGGCCUUCGGGUUGUAAAGCCCUUUUGUUGGGAAAGAAAAGAAGCGGAUUAAUACCCCGCUGUUCUGACGGUACCCAAAGAAAAAGCACCGGCUAACUUCGUG